RNAcentral lists this long non-coding RNA (230 nucleotides) under Mytilus galloprovincialis (Mediterranean mussel). The record is from RNAcentral. Lineage: Eukaryota; Metazoa; Mollusca; Bivalvia; Mytilida; Mytilidae.
UUGAUAUUCAAAUCAGUAUUGUAGAUAUGUACAGUAUAAAGUAAUAUGUACAGUGUUUUUAAUAUGUUUAUGAAGAAAAGAAGACAGUGUAUAGGGUAUGUGUCUGCUGAAUGUUGAUGGCCUUAUGUAUAUAUCACCAAGUAAUUCCUGUUCAUUUACCUUGGGUGAUUUGGUUACUCAGUUAAAUUGAAUAAAAUUGAACAUAUAUUCAACAAAUUUGUGUGAAAGAG